Molecule: ribosomal RNA, 530 nt
Filed under: uncultured bacterium
Lineage: Bacteria
Description: bacterial SSU rRNA
Rfam family: Bacterial small subunit ribosomal RNA
Source: RNAcentral
CCUUGACAUCCAGAGACUUAGCAGGAGAUUGGCUUUGGUGCCUUCGGGAACUCUGAGACAGGUGCUGCAUGGCUGUCGUCAGCUCGUGUUGUGAAAUGUUGGUUAAGUCCGCAACGAGCGCAACCCUUAUCCUUUGUUGCCAGCGGUUCGGCCGGGAACUCAAAGGAGACUGCCGGUGAUAAACCGGAGGAAGGUGGGGAUGACGUCAAGUCAUCAUGGCCCUUACGGCCAGGGCUACACACGUGCUACAAUGGCGCAUACAAAGAGAAGCGACCUCGCGAGAGCAAGCGGACCUCAUAAAGUGCGUCGUAGUCCGGAUUGGAGUCGGCAACUCGACUCCAUGAAGUCGGAAUCGCUAGUAAUCGUAGAUCAGAAUGCUACGGUGAAUACGUUCCCGGGCCUUGUACACACCGCCCGUCACACCAUGGGAGUGGGUUGCAAAAGAAGUAGGUAGCUUAACCUUCGGGAGGGCGCUUACCACUUUGUGAUUCAUGACUGGGGUGAAGUCGUAACAAGGUAAGCGUAGCGAG